Long non-coding RNA from Bos taurus (domestic cattle), 2167 nucleotides. The record is from Ensembl. Lineage: Eukaryota; Metazoa; Chordata; Mammalia; Artiodactyla; Bovidae.
GAGGGAGGCAUUCCUGGCUGACGGUCCACACAGUGGAGGAGGGAUGAGAGAUGAGACCUAAGGCAAUAAGAAGGUUGUGAAUGCAGACAUAUCUUCUAAACUUUCCUCGGAGGGCUGUGGGGAGCCACAACAGGUUGCUCAGAGGGCCCGACGGCAUCAGGUUGGUCUCAGGGAUCGUCAGUGUGACUGCGGUGGGGAGGAGGCCCAGGAGUGGACAGGAGUGGAGGCGGUACAGGCCAUGGUGAGGAGACGUGGAGAUGGGAGCCCACCCACCCGGGCUCCUUCGCUGUGCGUGGGUGGGGCUGGAGGGUGUCCAGACACACAGGUUCCCUUGACCCCUCCUCCCCCUCAGCUACAGUGGUUGUGGGCUGGGGAGAGUAGCAGGUUUCCCUUCCUGAACGGCUAUCAUCCCCAGCCCGGCUCAGGCCGAGUCCAGCUCCAGCCCCAGUGGCUAAUCCUGGUGACACUGGGUCCUGAGGCCGGGGCGGGGCAGCCGGGCAGCUGGCCUCAAUUAGCCGGGGAGCCGGGUCUGGACAGUGUCAUUAGGAGAAAACCAGAGCCUGGCCAUAAACUCUAAUGAAUGCAUUAAUGGAAGGCUUGUGCGCCUCAAAGGGGAAAAAAAAAAAGCGGGUCUAAAUAAAGUUAUUAACACAGCCCACCUGUGUUCGGCUCUCGGCCUAUAUUGUUCAAAUAGCCCAUUAACUCCUGAAGCAUCCAGUCUUGAAAGCAAGCCCUGCCUCUCUGAAGCAGGCGUUUAACUGCGUUCAUAUAAUUCAAUUAGAUCCCGCAGUCGUGGUCCAAAGGCAUUCUCUGGGCUUUCAUCUCGGUAGCCUGGGAGAGAGAUGGGCCCGUGCACCUGUCCACAGAGAGCCUCCAUGCAGCCGUACCUCCUGGGCCGGCCCUGGCACCGCCAGCUCCUGAGUUCGCCCUGCCCCUCGGACGCCGGCAGAUCUUGCCGGAGAUCAUUUUCUGAAAGACUCGCCUCCUGACCUCUUGCCGGGAGCCGCGGACAAGAUUAGUUUUAAGCCGCGGCCCAGCCGGUUACUUUCAGCAGAGGGUCCGAGAGUGUCCACGAGCGGGGUGUUAUUGUGUCACACAAAGGAAUGUUGUAAUCAUCCUCUAAGACCCUCCUUGGGGGACCACUGUGCCCUGGUUUUCAAGAGCUUUGGCAGAUGCUGCUUUGAGAGUUGCCAUUUGAAACUCAAGAGCACCCAUCCUGGUACCGGUCCUGUUCAAGGCAAACUGCCGUCAUCCAAGAGACGCCCAGGUGUCGGGGACCACAGGCGAGCUGUAAAUAACCCAGUCCGUGGCUGUAGAUCACCUCUGGCUGGACAGCCACGCCACCUCCACGGCCGCCCAGCUGGUAGACGCAGCCGCCUUUGGGAACAGGUGGCCCGCAGGGGCGGUGGCUGGUCUCCGCCGCAGCCUUGGAGGACCAGCCUGAUUCCAGCCUCAGACAACCCACCCACCCAGUGCUCGACCAGGCCCCAGCCACAGGCUUUCACGUUAAACAGGUUCUGACACUAAAAAUCAAGGUCUGCCGGCUGUUGUCAUAGGAAUGCAAUAUCCUCCGGAGGUCUCCUUAUUAAAAAACCACAUCUUGCGGCUGCCCAGGCUGGAUCUCUAUUUCAUUUGUAUUGAUCACAGGGAAAUGUCUCAUUCCCUGGCUGACAAAUGCAGCCAGUAGGGAGGGAGUCCGUGUUUGGUGGAAAACAUUUAUGUUCACAGUGAUCUGGGGGAUCCUGAGGCCGGAGCUGUGAGGUUUUGUGUGUGUGUGUGUGUGUCUGUGGGGAGCGGGGGGCGUCAUCUCUAGUUAUGCUGUGGGAUUACAAACGUAGUGAUAACAGGGGCUUCGGAAAUUAGCCAGGGUGACCACUUCAUUUUAAAGACUUUGGGUCAAGGAUGGGACCUGACUUCCCCUCUUCCCGGGUAGUAGCGCUUCUAGGAGUCUGCCCUAUAGAUGGUACCUGCCAUUGUGUGAAGGGAUAUUCAACACAGCACUGCUUGAGGUGCCAAGUUGGGGAAACCACCUCCACAUCCAUUACUGGAGAUUGGGUUAAAAAAAAAAGUAUGAUAUUAGGCAGAACCACGUUAAGCUGCCACUUCUGCUGGUCAAAAAUGGUUGAAUAUUGAUAAUCUCAUAUGGGUCCAUCUACCACCUCUACCG